RNAcentral lists this ribosomal RNA (225 nucleotides) under uncultured bacterium. RNAcentral describes it as "partial 16S ribosomal RNA". It matches the Rfam family "Bacterial small subunit ribosomal RNA", at positions 107 to 334 of the family's 1533-position model. The record is from RNAcentral.
UGAGUAACACGUAUCCAACCUGCCGUCUACUCUUGGACAGCCUUCUGAAAGGAAGAUUAAUACAAGAUGGCAUCAUGAGUCCGCAUGUUCACAUGAUUAAAGGUAUUCCGGUAGACGAUGGGGAUGCGUUCCAUUAGAUAGUAGGCGGGUAACGGCCCACCUAGUCUUCGAUGGAUAGGGUUCUGAGAGGAAGGUCCCCCACAUUGGAACUGAGACACGGUCCAA